AGAACGAACGCUGGCGGCAUGCCUAACACAUGCAAGUCGAACGAGACCUUCGGGUCUAGUGGCGCACGGGUGCGUAACGCGUGGGAAUCUACCCUUGGGUUCGGAAUAACAGUUGGAAACGACUGCUAAUACCGGAUAAUGACGUAAGUCCAAAGAUUUAUCGCCCAGGGAUGAGCCCGCGUAGGAUUAGCUAGUUGGUGAGGUAAAGGCUCACCAAGGCGACGAUCCUUAGCUGGUCUGAGAGGAUGAUCAGCCACACUGGGACUGAGACACGGCCCAGACUCCUACGGGAGGCAGCAGUGGGGAAUAUGGACAAUGGGCGAAAGCCUGAUCCAGCAAUGCCGCGUGAGUGAUGAAGGCCUUAGGUUGUAAAGCUCUUUACCCGGGAAGAUAAUGACUGUACCGGAGAAUAAGCUCGGCUAACUCCGUGCCAGCAGCCGC
This 441-nucleotide ribosomal RNA is filed under the name uncultured soil bacterium. RNAcentral describes it as "bacterial SSU rRNA". It matches the Rfam family "Bacterial small subunit ribosomal RNA", at positions 26 to 518 of the family's 1533-position model. The record is from RNAcentral.